AGAAGUAAAAGUCGUAACAAGGUUUCCGUAGGUGAACCUGCGGAAGGAUCAUUAACGAGUUGAACGGGGUUGUAGCUGGCCUUCACAGGCAUGUGCACACCUCACUCAUCCACUCUACACCUGUGCACUUACUGUGGGUUUCGAGAGGCCGCGCUUGCGUGGUUGAUCGGGCUCACGUCUAUUACAAACUCUUCAGUAUCAGAAUGUGUAUCGCGAUGUAACGCAUCUAUAUACAACUUUCAGCAACGGAUCUCUUGGCUCUCGCAUCGAUGAAGAACGCAGCGAAAUGCGAUAAGUAAUGUGAAUUGCAGAAUUCAGUGAAUCAUCGAAUCUUUGAACGCACCUUGCGCUCCUUGGUAUUCCGAGGAGCAUGCCUGUUUGAGUGUCGUGUAAUUCUCAACCUAUAAAUCCUUGUGGUUUUUAGGCUUGGACUUGGAGGCUUUUGCUGGCUUUACCGUCGGCUCCUCUUAAACGCAUUAGCUUGAUUCCUUGCGGAUCGGCUCUCAGUGUGAUAAUUAUCUGCGCUGUGACCGUGAAGCGUUUGGCGAGCUUCUAACCGUCUCUUUGAGACAAACACUUUGACAUCUGACCUCAAAUCAGGUAGG
This 605-nucleotide ribosomal RNA is filed under the name Porogramme epimiltina. Its description in RNAcentral is "eukaryotic LSU rRNA". The stretch from base 235 to 388 matches the Rfam family "5.8S ribosomal RNA". The record is from RNAcentral. Lineage: Eukaryota; Fungi; Basidiomycota; Agaricomycetes; Polyporales; Polyporaceae.